UACGAAGGGGGCUAGCGUUGCUCGGAAUCACUGGGCGUAAAGGGUGCGUAGGCGGGUCUUUAAGUCAGGGGUGAAAUCCUGGAGCUCAACUCCAGAACUGCCUUUGAUACUGGGGAUCUCGAGUCCGGAAGAGGUAAGUGGAACUCCGAGUGUAGAGGUGAAAUUCGUAGAUAUUCGGAAGAACACCAGUGGCGAAGGCGGCUUACUGGUCCGGUACUGACGCUGAGGUGCGAAAGCGUGGGGAGCGAACAGG
RNAcentral lists this ribosomal RNA (253 nucleotides) under uncultured bacterium. RNAcentral describes it as "partial 16S ribosomal RNA". It matches the Rfam family "Bacterial small subunit ribosomal RNA", at positions 524 to 776 of the family's 1533-position model. The record is from RNAcentral.